This is a long non-coding RNA of Mauremys mutica (yellowpond turtle), 825 nucleotides long. RefSeq lists it as uncharacterized. Lineage: Eukaryota; Metazoa; Chordata; Testudines; Geoemydidae. The transcript has 4 exons. The record is from RefSeq and is a predicted model, not a curated record.
UAUGCUGUAAGCUAGCCACUAGAGGGCAGCGGUGCACACGCACACUAGCUGGUGCUCUAAAAUGUUCACCUCUGCCUCCCUUCAUGAGUAUGGUUGAUUGACCGGAGACCUGUUAAAUACUAGCCAAGACGAGGGUAGCCCUGGCUUCUGAGCGUCUGUUGGCAGCAAUGUCACAAACCUGCCUAGUGUCAGAGGAAAUGAAAGUGAUUGAGCGGUGAAAUGUACUUCCCACCUCUGAGCACCUGCAGAGAGGAGGAAAUCAAACAUGAGCGUGUCAGAGCUGUGUGGGGGCUGCAGAAGCAGUGAAUUCAAGCUGUGUUAAAGGAGAGCAGUGCUCCAAGUUUUAGGACUGGAAAGGAAGUCGGCCCUUGAAAUUUGCUUCUGUUGUUCCAGCUUGAGAUGGGCCCCCAAGAUGCUGUACAAAUAGGAUUUCCUUCUGCUGCCAGUUUUCAGAAACUGGGCCAAAUUCUGUACAAGCCCCUUGGAUUCUAUGAUUCUGUGCGAUUGAAGAGGGGACAAGAGAGGACAGAACAUGGGCCAAAGUUUGGGGCAUCAUGUCCGUGUUCUCCACAUGAUAUUCUGAAGGAAAGAGACAUUUGUCUCUCACAAAAGUGACUCUUGCAUGACAAACUUUCCAGUGCAAUGGAGUGAAACCUAGGUAAUAAUUAGGCAGUGUCACAGGGUAUGGUUGUUUCCUACAGGAACACUAUGUCAUCUUGUGUUCCAGGGGAUUGUCUGGUUUCCUCUGGUGCAUUGCAAAGGGCAUUUCUGCAGCUGCAUUUAUAUCCCUGCCGUAUUCACUGUUGUAUGCAGUGUUGUUGUAGC